UACGUAGGGGGCAAGCGUUGUCCGGAUUUAUUGGGCGUAAAGAGCGUGUAGGCGGCCAGACAAGUCUGCUGUGAAAACUCGAGGCUCAACCUCGAGCUGUCGGUGGAAACUGUCUGGCUAGAGUCCGGAAGAGGAGAGUGGAAUUCCUGGUGUAGCGGUGAAAUGCGCAGAUAUCUGGAGGAACACCGGUGGCGAAGGCGGCAUUCUGGACCGACAUUGACGCUGAGGAGCGAAAGCCAGGGGAGCAAACGGG
RNAcentral lists this ribosomal RNA (253 nucleotides) under uncultured bacterium. RNAcentral's name for it is "partial 16S ribosomal RNA". It matches the Rfam family "Bacterial small subunit ribosomal RNA", at positions 524 to 776 of the family's 1533-position model. The record is from RNAcentral.